ACUCCAUCUUGAUGAGAGUUGGUGUUUGUGGGUUAUUUGUGAAGCCGGAAAGAAGCCGUGUCCUGGAGAAUGUAGCUGAAGGCCUGGCCACUUUCGACAAGAACGGGAAAGAGACGACUAACUUGUACUAAUAUCUUAGUGCUUGGCAGGGCAUUUUUUCAUUCCAGGAAAGAAGAGAAUCCAGCUGAGAUCAAGGGAGGGACGUCCGACGGAGGCGCCAUCUUUAACAAGGGCUAUUUGGGAGGCCAUCUUGGCGCAGGGCGUCUUUUUGAAAGGUUACCUGCUAGAGAUUACGACCUAUCGGGGCAUGCAUAGAAUUGGAUAUGUUCCUUGUUAUUCGCGUCAGCAGUCACUCAUCCAAAGACCCCAAAGCUUCUAGUGUUCUAAAGGCUCACACCUUCUGUGACAGGAAUCUUGAUUCCCAUUCUUCUCAAUCAAGACCUACCCUGAAUGGAUUUGGAGUAGUGUGGUAUAAUGGGAAAAAUUCAAGCUUGGGGGCCAGGCAGAUCCAGGUUUCAAACCCAUCUCUGCCACUUCUUACCUCUGAGACCUUUGGCAAACAUUUUGACUUAAUUGAGCCUUAGUUUCCUCAUCUAUAAACUGGAGAUACUAGCACCAACCUUCCAGAAUUGUGUGGAUUAAAUAAAAUCAAGGACAUAGAUUUUGUGAGCACAGGAUACUUAGUCCAGUUCCUGGCACAUAAUGAACGCAUUAUGUAAAUAUAAGUUUCUCUUCCUUAUUUCCUGACCACCAUGAACCUAGCUCUAGUUUCUGGCCACUAGUCUCCAUGACAACAACUGAGGAAGAGCACCCAAACAAGAAGAAGAAAAAGAAUGUUUUGCCAAAUAUGUGAAGAUAUAAUACCUAUCACCAAAGACUUUAAUAAGAAUAAUGAGACUCCACACUAUGUGUAAAAAUACAGCUUUUAUUCUGAGACAUUGACCUUCACUAGAGUGGGACCUGUGGCCCCAGCCUGGCUGGAGAAGCAGUCCCAGGGCCUGAGUGACACCAUUUCCCUUUCCUGAAAUAGGAACAAGUUAUUCCAAAGGAGAAAGGAGAGCCCAGAGAGAUCUGUACAGGACCUCUCUUGCACAUGGUGACUGGAGGCAGAGGGUGGGGAGCUGGAGAGGAGUCCAGUCCCUCCAACAAAUAUUGAGGGCUUCAAAGAGCUCUUCCUGGACGUUUCUCUUAAUCUGGAUUUAAAAGGGACAGGAGGUAUCUUAGGGUCCAAGAACAUAACAGGAAUGGGCAACUCUAGAAGUGUUUGUGUGUGGAAGGCCCUAACCUGGCCCUGUCCUCCCUGUCUCUACCUUUGGCUUUCAUGAAGAGAGAUUCACAGCUCAGAGGAAGGGAGGAAUUUCUCCAGUCUUCACUUUAACAAACUCUUUUAAGUUUUCUGCCUACCUUAUGUUCCCUUUGGCCAAUGACCCACUCCCUGGGAACAAGAUCUUGUUGACUUUCUUGGGAAUCUCCUAAGAGAUAAGUGCUUUGUGUCGGAGACAAGUUCAGGUAAACCAACCAAGGCAGUGCCUCCCACAGUCAAAGAGAGAAGCUGGAGGGCCAAAGCCUAUAGAGUUGGGCACUACAGCUGCUCAUGCUGCAGAGGAGACAGCUAGUCAGGAACCCUGGAGAUUCAAGACAACUUGCUGGUCCCCUUUGCCCAGGGCUGUGGUCCUAAUCACAGUCCUUCACCUUUCCCAGGGUUAGCCUGUGUUUCAAAUGCAUAUGACCUGCGCUGAGAGGACAACAGGGGGUCAGGAACCUGGGGUUCUCUGGGGGGCAGACUAAGACGACUCCGGGAUCCAGACCCUUCUGCACCUUCAGAUGGGAGCUCCAGGCAGCUAAGGGGCCGAGGAGAAUGGGCAGAGAUCAUGCUACAAGGGGAGGUUCUGGGGAUGAGGCAGUAAUCCCCACCCUCAGUACAGGUCUGGGUUCGCCGAACUCCUUGAGCCUCAGUCCUUUGGCGGUCCCGGGCUAGGGCCACAGCAGCAUCAAAGGAAAGACUACCCCCAUUCCUCCAAGAGGAUCGAGAAGCUCGGGACCCCCAAGCCCUUUCUCCAGGAGUCCCAUCAAGCCGGCCAGGCCUCGGGCAUGGAUUUGCAGGUGCCACAUGAAUCUUGCUACACAUUGCACUGGGCAUCUUGGCAAACUGUGGCUUGGGGGGCACCACAGGCACAGAGCGGACCUGUUGGACCUGAACCAGAGUGGAAGCUAGACGCAUGCCCACGCCACCCAGGCCAAGAGAACAGGGGCAUAGACAGCCGUCUGGACUGGGCUGCCCCUCAGGCUCCAUCUCCUCUGGCUGA
RNAcentral lists this long non-coding RNA (2306 nucleotides) under Homo sapiens (human). RNAcentral describes it as "HSALNT0296187". The record is from RNAcentral. Lineage: Eukaryota; Metazoa; Chordata; Mammalia; Primates; Hominidae.